CUUCGGGAAACGGAUUAGCGGCGGACGGGUGAGUAACACGUGGGUAACCUGCCUCAUAGAGUGGAAUAGCCUUCCGAAAGGAAGAUUAAUACCGCAUAACGUUGAAAGAUGGCAUCAUCAUUCAACCAAAGGAGCAAUCCGCUAUGAGAUGGACCCGCGGCGCAUUAGCUAGUUGGUGGGGUAACGGCCUACCAAGGCGACGAUGCGUAGCCGACCUGAGAGGGUGAUCGGCCACAUUGGGACUGAGACACGGCCCAGACUCCUACGGGAGGCAGCAGUGGGGAAUAUUGCACAAUGGGGGAAACCCUGAUGCAGCAACGCCGCGUGAGUGAUGAAGGUUUUCGGAUCGUAAAGCUCUGUCUUUGGGGAAGAUAAUGACGGUACCCAAGGAGGAAGCCACGGCUAACUACGUGCCAGCAGCCGCGGUAAUACGUAGGUGGCGAGCGUUAUCCGGAUUUACUGGGCGUAAAGGGAGCGUAGGCGGAUGAUUAAGUGGGAUGUGAAAUACCCGGGCUCAACUUGGGUGCUGCAUUCCAAACUGGUUAUCUAGAGUGCAGGAGAGGAGAGUGGAAUUCCUAGUGUAGCGGUGAAAUGCGUAGAGAUUAGGAAGAACACCAGUGGCGAAGGCGACUCUCUGGACUGUAACUGACGCUGAGGCUCGA
RNAcentral lists this ribosomal RNA (662 nucleotides) under uncultured Clostridium sp. RNAcentral describes it as "bacterial SSU rRNA". It matches the Rfam family "Bacterial small subunit ribosomal RNA", at positions 78 to 756 of the family's 1533-position model. The record is from RNAcentral. Lineage: Bacteria; Bacillati; Bacillota; Clostridia; Eubacteriales; Clostridiaceae.